GUGCAAUGUGCUGAUCUUUGGCUAGUUAGAAAAUGGAACCUACAUAGCAAGCUGCCAUUGGGUAAGGGGCAUAUUAGUUUGAAUUUGAAAAUGCAAUUUCUAACAAGAGUAAAUUCGUGUAGUCCAAAAUCAUUUCUAGAAUCACAAAGCCUCAUAAGCAAUUUAAUAAAUAAAUAAAUAAAUAAAAGAGAAUAAAAAAAUGCUCAUAAUGAUAAACUUUCAUCAGUCAUAGCAA
RNAcentral lists this long non-coding RNA (235 nucleotides) under Elaeis guineensis (African oil palm). RNAcentral's name for it is "long non-coding RNA (EGUI_LNC026385)". The record is from RNAcentral. Lineage: Eukaryota; Viridiplantae; Streptophyta; Magnoliopsida; Arecales; Arecaceae.